RNAcentral lists this unclassified non-coding RNA (405 nucleotides) under soil metagenome. RNAcentral's name for it is "partial contains 5.8S ribosomal RNA, internal transcribed spacer 2, and large subunit ribosomal RNA". The stretch from base 1 to 121 matches the Rfam family "5.8S ribosomal RNA", at positions 35 to 154 of the family's 154-position model. The record is from RNAcentral.
GAUGAAGAACGUAGCGAAAUGCGAUAAGUAAUGUGAAUUGCAGAAUUCAGUGAAUCAUCGAAUCUUUGAACGCACCUUGCGCCCUUUGGCUAUUCCGAAGGGCAUGCCUGUUUGAGUAUCAUGAACAUCUCAACUCCUCGCGGUUUGCCCGUGACGAGCUUGGACUUUGGGGGUCUUGUCGGCCUGUGGGUCGGCUCCUCUCAAAUGAAUCAGCUUGCCGGUGUUUGGUGGCGUCACAGGUGUGAUAACUAUCUACGCUUGUGGUUUUCCGCCAGGUAACCUCCAGCAAUGGGGGUUCACUGGAGCUCACAAAUGUCUUUCCUCGGUGAGGACAGCUUUUUGAACGUUUGAUCUCAAAUCAGGUAGGACUACCCGCUGAACUUAAGCAUAUCAAUAAGCGGAGGA